UACGAAGGGUGCAAGCGUUACUCGGAAUUAUUGGGCGUAAAGGGCUCGUAGGCGGUUUGUCGCGUCGGGAGUGAAAACUCAGGGCUUAACCCUGAGCCUGCUUCCGAUACGGGCAGACUAGAGGUAUGCAGGGGAGAACGGAAUUCCUGGUGUAGCGGUGAAAUGCGCAGAUAUCAGGAGGAACACCGGUGGCGAAGGCGGUUCUCUGGGACGGUACUGACGCUGAGACGCGAAAGCGUGGGGAGCGAACAGG
RNAcentral lists this ribosomal RNA (253 nucleotides) under uncultured bacterium. RNAcentral describes it as "partial 16S ribosomal RNA". It matches the Rfam family "Bacterial small subunit ribosomal RNA", at positions 524 to 776 of the family's 1533-position model. The record is from RNAcentral.